UACAGAGGUCUCAAGCGUUGUUCGGAUUCAUUGGGCGUAAAGGGUGUGUAGGUGGCGCGCUAAGUCGGGUGUGAAAUCUCGGGGCUCAACCCCGAAACUGCACUUGAUACUGCCUUGCUCGAGUACUGGAGAGGAGAUUGGAAUUUACGGUGUAGCAGUGAAAUGCGUAGAUAUCGUAAGGAAGACCAGUGGCGAAGGCGAAUCCCUGGAAAAUACCUGACACUGAGGCACGAAAGCUAGGGGAGCAAACAGG
This 253-nucleotide ribosomal RNA is filed under the name uncultured bacterium. RNAcentral's name for it is "partial 16S ribosomal RNA". It matches the Rfam family "Bacterial small subunit ribosomal RNA", at positions 524 to 776 of the family's 1533-position model. The record is from RNAcentral.